Molecule: long non-coding RNA, 212 nt
Filed under: Pan troglodytes (chimpanzee)
Lineage: Eukaryota; Metazoa; Chordata; Mammalia; Primates; Hominidae
Description: long non-coding RNA NONPTRT015730
Source: RNAcentral
AAAAUCACUCCAGUGUGCACUGGUUAGCAAUUCCUUUUCAGGAAUCCAGAUUAUUAGCAUAACUUAACUGAGAAAAACAUAAGUGAAGAUAAAUUAUUUUUUUCUCUCAGGGCAUGGUAAAACUUCUACAUAUAAUUUGGCUUUUCUCAAAACACAGCAACACUUCAUGUUACCCAUAACUCAAAUAUCAGUUAAAUAUCUAUCCCCCAUCU